Molecule: long non-coding RNA, 683 nt
Organism: Bos taurus (domestic cattle)
Lineage: Eukaryota; Metazoa; Chordata; Mammalia; Artiodactyla; Bovidae
Source: Ensembl
GUGCAGACAGCCCUGCCCAGGCCCCUGAGGGCGGAGGCUCCGGGGAGAGUGCCACCUGACUAAUGGAGGGUGAAACCCGGCCCGGCAGGGAGGGGGUGGUAAUAAGUCCCCAGUCUCUCUCACCUCCACCCUCCAAGCUCCUGCUGUUGCUUGCCAUGGACUGAAGCAUGGAAGCCAGAGGAUGUGGCAGAACGACAACGGGCUGGUUCUGAGCCUCGGCCUCAAGAGGACACACAUGUCCACUCGCUGUCUUGGACCCCUGCCACUGCUGCCAUGAGGACAGCCUGGGCUAGCCCACCGGAGGAUGAAGGAACUGCAGAGAGAGGCCCCAUCCACCCUCACCCAGGCCCGCCUAGACCUGACAGCCCCAGUCACCUAGGGUGACCCACUGCUUCAUUUGCCCAGGAUUGAGGGGUCACCUGGGAUGUAGGUCUUUCAGUGCUAUAACUGGGGCAGUUCCAGGCAAACCAGGACGGUUGAUCACCCUACAGUUGACUCACCAGCUGAUUCAGGUGCAGGAAUAAGCCCACCUGAGUUCAGAAGAGCUAGCCAGCUGACCUGUAAAUGCUUAUUGUUUGAAACCAAUAGAGCAUGAAUUUGGGAGGCUGAAUUUGGGAAGCCAUUUGUUAGACAGCAAAAACUAACAAGGGCACCUUCUCCAUUUCUCUGUGAAGAUCUCAGAG